This 499-nucleotide long non-coding RNA is filed under the name Spirodela polyrhiza (greater duckweed). Its description in RNAcentral is "long non-coding RNA (SPOL_LNC000277)". The record is from RNAcentral. Lineage: Eukaryota; Viridiplantae; Streptophyta; Magnoliopsida; Alismatales; Araceae.
UGCUGCACGUGAUAAAGUCAACGGUUGGAUUAAGAGUGACCAAAGGUAAAACGACCAGGCCCGGUCAACCUUUAGCACACACGUUUGACCUGGUCCAGUCUAAUGACAACAGCUGACCAUCAACCUCGUUCUGGUGCGAUUUGAGACGUUUGUAGUGCCUAGGCACACCAAAUGGUGAGGAGAAUCGGUGGUGCGUGUUUGAUUUCUCCUACUACGGAUAGCAGUCUUACCUGGAGGUCUCUCCUCCAUGCCCACCUCUCUCUCUCUCUCUCUCUCUCUCUCUCUCUCUACGAGUUUCUCUAUCUACAUGUGUGUUUGGGAGUCCCUCCUAUUUCCCAACUCUCUUCUUAGGUUAGCUGUUGAUGGUAUAUGGAUCUGCGCUCCAAUCAUCUACUUUGGAGCUAAACCGUGCCCACCUCCACCAGUACCGGACCUAGAUGUGAAGACGGCGGCGUUUGCCCACUAUAAGACAGACUGCACCAGGACAGUGCUCUCCGUC